Molecule: long non-coding RNA, 695 nt
Organism: Apis cerana (Asiatic honeybee)
Lineage: Eukaryota; Metazoa; Arthropoda; Insecta; Hymenoptera; Apidae
Source: RefSeq, a predicted model, not a curated record
UGCGCUUUUCACACACAGUAUGUAUGUUACGCGUCUAAUGUUUAGUACAUUGCGGAUCAUAUAAUCCGGAUGAUUUUGAAAACAUUUCGUGUCCUUUUGUGUCUCACUUUUUCAAAACAUCGAAUAAAUACGUUAUUCUUAUGGUUUACACAUGUACAUACUUUAUAAACAAUUUGAAAGUGACCGAUAGCGCAAGUAUAUAACUAGCAUGCGUGAUAUUUUUCGGCAUAUAGUGAGGUUAUAUGGUUAUGGACAAAAGUACUGUAAAAUAUCAAUCUCAAAGACGAUGGAUUGUAUUUAUCUGCGCAAAAUUUUCUGUGGAGAAGACGUUUCGUGCUCUCUUUCUGCUCUCGUGCAACGUGAUUUACAGCAAGUUUUCAAGAGCUCGUGAACAAUGGAGAUAUCUACGAUAAUAAAUGCAGCAUCGGUUCCAGAAGAAGAUUCCAGAUUAAAUAAUUUUAUUUGGAACGUAAUUUUGGAAGAAAUAGAUUUUUAAAAAAAAAAUCAAAUUAAACUCACGAUAAAGAAAAUGUAAAUACUUUUGCUUACGAUAUUAAAUGAGUUUACAUUAUUAAUGUUUAAUUUUUAAUCUUCAUUACAAAAGAUAUUCCAAAUAUAUAUAGAUAGAGAAAUACUUAACCCUUUCUACGAUAUUUGUAACAUUUGUAUAAUAAAAUUUGUAUUUAUAUUUCAUA